This 548-nucleotide long non-coding RNA is filed under the name Nicotiana benthamiana. RNAcentral describes it as "long non-coding RNA (NBEN_LNC018532)". The record is from RNAcentral. Lineage: Eukaryota; Viridiplantae; Streptophyta; Magnoliopsida; Solanales; Solanaceae.
CCGAUUCUGACUUCCUCUCUGAGGUAUGUAAUGAAACACUUCAAAAGCCAAUAUUUUUCCAAAACCUUGCUCAUAUCUGGGUGUGUCAGAGUUUCCUAAGGGCCUCAAGGGAUCCCGGGUAAUACUCACACCAAGAUUUGCUUAACCAAACAGAAUGAGUGCAGUGUGGAAGAGCCAGCUUUUAUGUGUCCAAGUUCAGAGGGAGCUCAAACGUCCCAAGGCAAGGCUCACACAAAAGGGGAGAACAUAAAUUCUAAGAGUGUAGGUGAGAGUGCUUGACAUAGUUUGAAAAAGAGUUUGUUUAAAAUUGGUUUGAAAGUAAUCAACAACAAAGUUGAUUUGAAAGCAGUUGUAGUAGUAAACAAAACUCAAACUCCCAAGAUGGGAUCGUACACAGAAUCAAUAGUCAUACAAAGGUCGAGGAGGUUUAGGGCACACUGAAAUUUGACUGUAAACACAUAACCCCAUCAAGGGUCUUAGGACUAGUUGGACAUGCACAAUAAUAGUAGAUACUGGCAUGAUCACAGGCUAGUCAGAAAGAAAAUAAG